RNAcentral lists this ribosomal RNA (449 nucleotides) under uncultured bacterium. RNAcentral describes it as "partial 16S ribosomal RNA". It matches the Rfam family "Bacterial small subunit ribosomal RNA", at positions 29 to 523 of the family's 1533-position model. The record is from RNAcentral.
AAUGAACGCUGGCGGCAGGCCUAACACAUGCAAGUCGAACGGAUCCUUCGGGAUUAGUGGCGGACGGGUGAGUAACGCGUGGGAACAUACCCUUUGGUACGGAGUAGCCUCGGGAAACUGGGAGUAAUACCGUAUGUGGUCGAGAGACGAAAGAUUUAUCGCCAAAGGAUUGGCCCGCGUUGGAUUAGGUAGUUGGUGGGGUAAUGGCCUACCAAGCCGACGAUCCAUAGCUGGUUUGAGAGGAUGAUCAGCCACACUGGGACUGAGACACGGCCCAGACUCCUACGGGAGGCAGCAGUGGGGAAUCUUAGACAAUGGGGGAAACCCUGAUCUAGCCAUGCCGCGUGAGCGAUGAAGGCCUUAGGGUUGUAAAGAUCAUCCAGGUGGGAAGAUAAUGACUGUACCACCAGAAGAAGCCCCGGCUAACUCCGUGCCAGCAGCAGCCGCGG